GAAAUGCGAUAAGUAAUGUGAAUUGCAGAAUUCAGUGAAUCAUCGAAUCUUUGAACGCACAUUGCGCCCGCCAGUAUUCUGGCGGGCAUGCCUGUUCGAGCGUCAUUUCAACCAUCAAGCCCCGCGCUUGUGUUGGGGACCUGCGGCUGCCCGCAGGCCCUGAAAACCAGUGGCGGGCUCGCUGUCACACCGAGCGUAGUAGCAAUCACCUCGCUCAGGGCGUGCUGCGGGUUCCGGCCGUUAAACAGCCUUACAAAACCCAAGGUUGACCUCGGAUCAGGUAGGAAGACCCGCUGAACUUAAGC
This 305-nucleotide unclassified non-coding RNA is filed under the name plant metagenome. Its description in RNAcentral is "partial contains 5.8S ribosomal RNA, internal transcribed spacer 2, and large subunit ribosomal RNA". The stretch from base 1 to 105 matches the Rfam family "5.8S ribosomal RNA", at positions 50 to 154 of the family's 154-position model. The record is from RNAcentral.